This 298-nucleotide signal recognition particle RNA is filed under the name Cebus imitator (Panamanian white-faced capuchin). RNAcentral describes it as "Metazoan signal recognition particle RNA (ENSCCAG00000002859.1)". It matches the Rfam family "Metazoan signal recognition particle RNA". Rfam says of the family: The signal recognition particle (SRP) is a universally conserved ribonucleoprotein. It is involved in the co-translational targeting of proteins to membranes. The eukaryotic SRP consists of a 300-nucleotide 7S RNA and six proteins: SRPs 72, 68, 54, 19, 14, and 9. The record is from RNAcentral. Lineage: Eukaryota; Metazoa; Chordata; Mammalia; Primates; Cebidae.
UCCAGGCGCAGUGGUGUGUUCCUGUAGUCCUAGCUACUUGGAAGGCUGAGGUGUGAGGAUCACUUGAGCCCAGGAGUUCUGGGCUGUAGCGUGCUAUGCCGAUCGGGCGUCCGUACUAAGUCUGGCAUCAAUAUGGUGACCUCCCGGGAGUGGGGGACCACCAGGUUGCCUAGGGAGGGGUGAACCGGCCCAGGUCAGAAACAGAGCAGGUCAAAACUCCCAUGCUGAUCAGCUGUGGGAUUGCACCUGUGAACAGCCACUGCACUCCAGCCUGGGCAACACAGCGAGACCCCAUCUC